CUCCGUCAUGCUACACUAUACUGGGGUGAUGGGGGGGUAAACAUGGUGGAGGUGCUCCGUCAUGCUACACUAUACUGGGGUGAUGGGGGGGGUCAACAUGUUGGAGGUGCUCCGUCAUGCUACACUAUACUGGGGUGAUGGGGGGGGGUCAACAUGUUGGAGGUGCUCCGUCAUGCUACACUAUACUGGGGUGAUGGGGGGGGUCAACAUGUUGGAGGUGCUCCGUCAUGCUACACUAUACUGGGG
Molecule: long non-coding RNA, 246 nt
Organism: Salvelinus fontinalis (brook trout)
Lineage: Eukaryota; Metazoa; Chordata; Actinopteri; Salmoniformes; Salmonidae
Exons: 4
Source: RefSeq, a predicted model, not a curated record